GACGACGCUGGCGGCGUGGAUUAGGCAUGCAAGUCGAACGGUAUCAUCCUUUCGGGGGUGAGAGAGUGGCGAACUGGUGAGUAACACGUAGGUUAUCUACCCUCAAGACGGGACAACCCAGGGAAACUUGGGCUAAUACCGGAUGUGAGCAACUUUUAGUUGUUUGAAAGGUGGCGUAAGCUGUCGCUUGGGGAUGAGCCUGCGUCCUAUUAGUUAGUUGGUGAGGUAACGGCUCACCUAGGCAAUGAUAGGUAGGCGGCCUUAACGGGUGGUCGCCCACACUGGGAUUGAGAUACGGCCCAGACUCCUACGGGAGGCAGCAGUCGAGAAUAGUCUACAAUGGUCGGAAGACUGAUAGUGCGACGCCGCGUGAACGAUGAAUCCCUUCGGGGUGUAAAGUUCUUUUAUAUGUGAGCAGUGCUUUCUAUGUGAACAGCAUGGGGAGAGAGAUAUUAGCAUAUGAAUAAGCAACGGCUAACUCCGUG
Molecule: ribosomal RNA, 485 nt
Filed under: uncultured bacterium
Lineage: Bacteria
Description: bacterial SSU rRNA
Rfam family: Bacterial small subunit ribosomal RNA
Source: RNAcentral